Molecule: long non-coding RNA, 627 nt
Organism: Mercurialis annua (annual mercury)
Lineage: Eukaryota; Viridiplantae; Streptophyta; Magnoliopsida; Malpighiales; Euphorbiaceae
Exons: 5
Source: RefSeq, a predicted model, not a curated record
CCCGUGAAUAAAUUAUCCCUAAUCAAUUUAAAAAGAAAAUCUUCUCUCUCCUGUUUCUUUCUUCUUCUUCUUCUUCAUCAUCAUACCUUCCUCUUUUUCUUCAUGGUAAGUCUACAGACACCACGCCAACAUGAAGCUUUCGUGAAUAUUUUUGGCCUGUCGUUGUUGUCUAUAAUUCGAGAAGAAAAUUUAUUAGAAUUUUAAUUCUUGGACUUGAUGAAGAUUUCUCUUCAAGUAUCUCCACAUCUUCUACCAUCUGAUUCACUCAUCAUUAUGGGCACCUCCACUGCCAGAUCUACCAAAUUCUCUCCUUUGCAUCGACAACUUUGCUUUUUUUUCCCUUCAUAUAUUUGGGUUCUUCAUUAAAUUCUCUGUUUUUUCAGGAGCUAUAGAUGAUCAGUGAAAUUGCAAAUACUGAUUUUAAUUCAAAGGAAUUCAUAAAGAGAAGAGUUGAUAAUUGAUUCUCUUUGGCCUUUGCUACAGUUAGAAGAGGUCCUUUAGCUAAAGACUACAUAUUUUAUGUUAGGUUAUUUAAUUAUAAGACUACAAAUUUUAUGUGAGGUUAUUUAAUUACUAAAAUGACUGUUUGGAUUGUACGAUAGAAAAGUUGUAUUCUCUUUUUUUUUA